This 240-nucleotide unclassified non-coding RNA is filed under the name soil metagenome. Its description in RNAcentral is "partial contains 5.8S ribosomal RNA, internal transcribed spacer 2, and large subunit ribosomal RNA". The record is from RNAcentral.
AACGCACGAGACCUGCGGACCUGCGGAGGGAUCAUUAUAGAGUGGUAAACCCUCUGUAAAAGGGGGGGACCUCCUGUCCUUUGUAGGCUCUUUUUUAAAGGGCUUUUUUUAAUUUUCUGCUUCGGUGGGGUUAUCCCACCGGAACAACCUCAAAACUCUGAUCAAAAAAUCGUUCUGUCUGAGAACUUUUUAUAAUAAAAAAAACUUUUAGCAAUGGAUCUCUAGAUCGGAAGAGCACAC